GCUUAGAAGUAAACCAAGGCAGCAACCCCAUCACCCUGCCCGCCAGAGUACUACAAGCGAAAAGCUUAAAACUCAAAGGACUUGACGGCAUUCCACACCACACUAGAGGAGCCUGUCCUAUAAUCGAUAACCCACGUUCAACCUCACCUGUUCUCGCACUAGCCAGCCUAUAUACCGCCGUCCCCAGCCCGCCUUGCAAAAGAACCCCCAGCGAGCAAAUCAGUCCAGCACUAACACGUCAGGUCAAGGUGUAGCUAACGCACAGGCAGAGAUGGGCUACAUUUUCUCAAACAAAAGAAAAACAACCACCCGCACCAUGAAACAAGUGCUCAAAGGAGGAUUUAGCAGUAAGCCACGCAAGCCUGCGUUACUGAACCACGCCCUGGAAUGUGU
RNAcentral lists this ribosomal RNA (393 nucleotides) under Hemidactylus sp. 11 JS-2013. RNAcentral's name for it is "partial 12S ribosomal RNA". It matches the Rfam family "Bacterial small subunit ribosomal RNA", at positions 794 to 1384 of the family's 1533-position model. The record is from RNAcentral. Lineage: Eukaryota; Metazoa; Chordata; Lepidosauria; Squamata; Gekkonidae.